Non-coding RNA from Myodes glareolus (Bank vole), 761 nucleotides. NCBI's taxonomy places the organism in Eukaryota, Metazoa, Chordata, Mammalia, Rodentia, Cricetidae. The record is from RefSeq and is a predicted model, not a curated record.
UCCGCUGGUGGCAGCAGGCUUCCGAGGAGGAGCUGGACAGUGAGCUCCCGGCACAACCUCAGAAGCCAGCAGCCAGCUGACUCGCCCAGUCCGGGAGCAAGAACCCGGGAGGACUGGAGUGGCAGGGGACCCAGCACCGACCACAUCGCCCUGUCCCAAGCGCGGGACUCGGUGGAGCAGUCUAGGUUCGAACAGCACCUCCAAAGUGAGCUUCUUCCUGCUUCCCAUGGCCCCGUGCCCACUCCUUCCACGAAGGACCUACCGGCUCCCCUGCACCUCAGACCUGCUGGGCUGCCUUGCACACCAAACCAACCCACGCUCACAGAUCCAACCGGAGCAGGGUAGUAAGAAACUUCACUCCGAACUGGAGGUACGCGAACGAGUUUGGAACAGGCAUAGAAGGAACUCAGAAGGCGACUGGGAGAUCCUUGCUUGUGAGGUCACAAUGAAUUGGACUACAUUUCCCAUAAGUCUAUGCAACUGAGUUUCCGGUAGAGGCUGACUUGAAAUGUGCAAUUUCUGCCGCUAGAGGGACACAUGCCGCGAGUCAGGCUGCAUUAAAAUCCUCAGCUUCCAAACAAAGAUGGUUAGAUAUGAGUGGAGACCUUACAACAAUUACAGGUAUCUCACAUGGGAAAAAUCACUGCUACGGUUUUGAAAUGAAUCCUCAGCAGAGGCUUGGUGGGAGCCACCUAGUGUCUGCCUCUUAAGAGCAGAGGCCCAUGGAUCACAGCUCCAAGGCUAUGGUAAACAAACAGAAA